UACGAAGGGUGCAAGCGUUACUCGGAAUUACUGGGCGUAAAGCGUGCGUAGGUGGUUUGUUAAGUCUGAUGUGAAAUCCCCGGGCUCAACCUGGGAAUGGCGUUUGAAACUACGGAGCUGGAGUGUGGCAGAGGGAGGUAGAAUUCCACGUGUAGCGGUGAAAUGCGUAGAUAUGUGGAGGAAUACCGAUGGCGAAGGCAGCCUCCUGGGCCAACACUGACGCUCAUGCACGAAAGCGUGGGGAGCAAACAGG
RNAcentral lists this ribosomal RNA (253 nucleotides) under uncultured bacterium. RNAcentral describes it as "partial 16S ribosomal RNA". It matches the Rfam family "Bacterial small subunit ribosomal RNA", at positions 524 to 776 of the family's 1533-position model. The record is from RNAcentral.